GGUGUAGCUCAGCGGGAGAGCACUACGUUGACAUCGUAGGGGUCACAGGUUCAAUCCCUGUCACGCCCA
Molecule: transfer RNA, 69 nt
Filed under: Brucella inopinata BO1
Lineage: Bacteria; Pseudomonadati; Pseudomonadota; Alphaproteobacteria; Hyphomicrobiales; Brucellaceae
Description: tRNA-Val
Rfam family: tRNA
About the family: Transfer RNA (tRNA) molecules are approximately 80 nucleotides in length. Their secondary structure includes four short double-helical elements and three loops (D, anti-codon, and T loops).
Source: RNAcentral